UCGACUGUUUUACCAAAAACAUAGCAUAUAUAAAAACUUUAUGUGUGGGACCUGGUCAAUGGAAAUUAAGAAAAAAAAAUUAAUUUUUAAAUUCAUGUCUUAGCGUGAGGAUAAUAAAGUAGCAUAAUAAUUUGAUAUUUAAUUGGUGUCUGGAAUGAAAGGUGAAACGAUUGUAACAUUGUUUCAAAUUUAUAAAAAAAAAUUAAAUUAAUAGUUAAGAUUCUAUUAUAAAAAAUUAAGACAAGAAGACCCUAUAAACUUUUACUAAAAUCAAUUUUUAAUAAUUAAUUUAAAAAAUUGAUAGAUAGUUUAACUGGGACAGUUAUCUUUUAUAAUAAAAACAAAGAUUUUUUUUAAGUAUUAAAUAAAAUUAACAAAUUUUAUAAAGAUUUGACCUUAUAAAUUAAAUUAAAUUUAUAACUUAAAAAAUAAAAAGUACUUUAGGGAUAACAGAGUAAUUUUGAAACAGAGAUGGAAUCAAAUUUGAAGUUUGCUACCUCGAUGUUGAAUUUAGAUAUCCCUCAAUAGAAGAAGAUUGAAAAGGUUAGACUGUUCGUCUAUUAAAAUCUUACAUGAUUU
This 579-nucleotide ribosomal RNA is filed under the name Halammohydra sp. A3_4. Its description in RNAcentral is "partial large subunit ribosomal RNA". It matches the Rfam family "Bacterial large subunit ribosomal RNA", at positions 1796 to 2606 of the family's 2925-position model. The record is from RNAcentral. Lineage: Eukaryota; Metazoa; Cnidaria; Hydrozoa; Actinulida; Halammohydridae.